AUGCAAGUCGAACGGUGAAGGCGGAGCUUGCUCUGCCGGAUCAGUGGCGAACGGGUGAGUAACACGUGGGCAACCUGCCCUUCACUCUGGGAUAACCCCGGGAAACCGGGGCUAAUACCGGAUACGACCCCUGCAGGCAUCUGCGGGGGUGGAAAGUUUUUCGGUGAAGGAUGGGCCCGCGGCCUAUCAGCUUGUUGGUGAGGUAGUGGCUCACCAAGGCGACGACGGGUAGCCGGCCUGAGAGGGCGACCGGCCACACUGGGACUGAGACACGGCCCAGACUCC
RNAcentral lists this ribosomal RNA (285 nucleotides) under unidentified marine bacterioplankton. Its description in RNAcentral is "partial 16S ribosomal RNA". It matches the Rfam family "Bacterial small subunit ribosomal RNA", at positions 55 to 339 of the family's 1533-position model. RNAcentral also lists the same sequence under 1 other name. The record is from RNAcentral.